This is a long non-coding RNA of Mya arenaria, 2605 nucleotides long. RefSeq lists it as uncharacterized. The transcript is spliced from 4 exons. The record is from RefSeq and is a predicted model, not a curated record. Lineage: Eukaryota; Metazoa; Mollusca; Bivalvia; Myida; Myidae.
UAUAUCGUUAUGUUUUGACAGAAUGAAAUGAAGAAAAGCCGUCAAAUUCAUAUUUAUAAGUUGGAUAUUUAUUUUUUGUGUACGGAACUAAUAUAAAAUAACAUUAUCUGAUGAAUUCCAUCAAUGAAGCCUUUGAAAAAAGCGGGCCAUACCCAAGUCUUUGCCUGUGGGAAUGUGGUGUACAACAGGAGGUCAGAUGGCAUUCCAUGAUGGAAUUACAUCUCUUACCAAAUUCAGCUGGUCAAAAGUGCUCUUUACCAUCCACAGACAGUAUUUGGCAGACUAGGAACAAGAAAUUCCACUUAAUGUAAUAGCGGUUUGGUUGUGCAUGAACAGCAAAUGCAUCCGGUGCUGGUUUGUUAACAUGCAGGGGCUGCCACUAUCUUCCUUUAGGAUAACAAGGAUGUCAGUUUCCAGCAAAAUAAUCCAGGAAGAACCCCAGGUCUUACUGUUAAGGAACGCAAUGAGGUUGUGACCAUUAGGCUCAAAGCUGUGGAGAAAGAUGUCUAGCCAGGAGACAUACUAAUGUUAUGCUUUACUGAUGUUGUUGCCAACACCUACAAACCAUUCACUACAACUACCACAACGAACAAUGUACUGAUAAUGCAGAAAAUCUGAGCUACCUUUGUGAAAGAGGCCAAGAGAGGAUUGGAUGGUGGAGUUUCAGAUGACACAAUGCUGACUGUUUUCACCCAGCUGAUUUUGCUUCCUACUGGCAGCAGAAGGAAGUCUUCACUUUUAUUUUAAACAAUUAAGUUUUAAUGCCACCAAUUUGUCAAGAUAACAUGUAACUGAAAAGAUUGAAAUUACACCAACUUCCUUCAUUAACACAAACUAUCUGUGUACCUGGACCAUCAGCUUGAACAGUAUACUACUUCAACUACCAUUUCCUCAUAUUCAAACAUUACUAGAAAGGUCUGAAAGGCAAUCAUGCUAUCUUCAGUGAUAAAUGAAGAAUGAUAAACUCUUGUGUUAUAAAUUCUGCUGCAACUUGAGAUCACCAGUAUGUACAGACAUUGCCAAAUUUAUUGCAUUUAUUACUUGUGUCUAAUCAGUGCUUUAUGCAUAGAUAUUGUACUUGAAGUUAACUAUGAUUUUAUUAAGAUGCGAUUUUUCACUCUGUAUUGAUAUUCGCAUACUUCAAUUUCUGUUGCUAUACCAGUGUCACUAACAGAUAAUCUAGAUUAAUUUGUUUUUAUUUAUUUCUACCACUGUUGUCUAUGAUCAUUUUCAUAUCAUAUAGUUAGUACAUUUCAUUAUAUACAAGGCAGUCAAUGUCUAAUUUCCUAUAACAAUUCAGCAAUGAGCCUUUUGACAUUUCUGCUUUCAAUUGUCUUUAUAUUUUUCAUUAACAUUUCUUUCUAAGUUUGAAGCCUGAUCACUGUUAAAAAACAGGCUCUACUUUAUGGCUGCCUAGAAAUGUCUUACAAAUUGAUAAUUAUUUAAAAUACCAAUAACCUAAUGCCCUUAUGGAAACAUAGUCCAAACAUUCCUCAACGGCUAUGAAAUUAUUUUUGAACAAACCUUUUUGCUGUUUACAGCCUUUAAAAAAUUAAGAUUUUCCCCCAACCAAAUGCACUGCUUAACCUAUAAAUAAAUGAUUUUUGACAUAUUAUAAUCAUUUUCACUCAUUGCAUGUUUUUCUGUUACAAUGUUAUCGCGUUUUCAUGUGUAUCAUUUAGAUUCAUUGUUUUCACAUUAUAACUUCACUCAUGAUUCAUUGCUAAUCUCAUUUUAUGUAAAUGUCUUCUUGUUCAAUUGUAAAUAAUGACAAAUGCUGCUCAAAAUAGUGUGAUAAUGGAUAUACUCUUCCUGUCAUUCAUGUUAUUUGAUAAUUGUCAGCUGCAGCAUCUUCCAUGAAUUGCAUUACUUUUAUUUGCCUCAGAUAAAUAAAAGUAAUGCAAUUCAUGGAAGAUGACACCAGAUGAUACCAUUGCAAGAUGAAAAAAAAACUGUCCAAAACUUUAAAGGAAUUUAUAUCUUCGUGUACAUUUCAAUUGAGUUUUUGGACCGAGUAAAUCCCAGCUAUUUUAAAAAAUAUCUUCUGAGUGUGUCUUGUAAAAAUCACAGGACCCCCACAUGCUAUUCUUUAGUGUAUACACACAGCUGAGACAGGGAUAUAUUUUUUUUAUUUUUUUCAUUUAUAAAAUAUUGCAAUUUUGACCUCAUAAGUUCAGUCUUGUUUUAAGGAAAAAUUGAACUUGCUGAUUUUGGUACUUUUGGUUCAUCCCCAAUUGAUCUAAUAAACCCUGGUUUAAUAUUGAUAAUUAUGGAGAAAUAAAGACAAACUUAAGUCUUUAUAUGUAAUGUUAAUUGGGCUCAAUUUCAGACCUAUUCAGAUUAUGAAAUAAAAUACUGCAUUAUAACUUUUAUUAAAUCAUAGACCAAUUAUAAAAACGCACAAAAGAGAAUGUUCCUUUUCAUAUACCUUGUUCUUAUUUUUCUGAAAUUGAACUGCUGGUGUUUAGGCAUUGGUCUAUGACAGGUGUGGUUGACUGUUGAUAUGUAAAUUUAACCAGCUACGAUAACAACAUCAUAUGCAUACACCACUGUCAGCAUUUUAACUGCUUCAGCUAAUGAAGAACCUCCAAUAUCUAUACUCUUA